RNAcentral lists this ribosomal RNA (119 nucleotides) under Pteropus alecto (black flying fox). Lineage: Eukaryota; Metazoa; Chordata; Mammalia; Chiroptera; Pteropodidae. The record is from RNAcentral.
GUCUAUGGCCAUGCUACCCUGAACAAGCCCGAUCUCGUCUGAUCUCAGAAACUAAGCAGGGUUGGGCCUGGUUAGUACUUGGAUGGGAGACCACCUAGGAAGACCAGGUGCUGUAGGCA